AGUGAACGCUGGCGGUAGGCCUAACACAUGCAAGUCGAACGGCAGCACAGGAGAGCUUGCUCUCUGGGUGGCGAGUGGCGGACGGGUGAGGAAUACAUCGGAAUCUACUUUUUCGUGGGGGAUAACGUAGGGAAACUUACGCUAAUACCGCAUACGACCUACGGGUGAAAGCAGGGGACCUUCGGGCCUUGCGCGAUUGAAUGAGCCGGUGUGGGAUUAGCUAGCUGGCGGGGUAAAGGCCCACCAAGGCGACGAUCCGGAGCUGGUCUGAGAGGAUGAUCGGCCACACUGGAACUGAGACACGGUCCAGACUCCUACGGGAGGCAGCAGUGGGGAAUAUUGGACAAUGGGCGCAAGCCUGAUCCAGCCAUACCGCGUGGGUGAAGAAGGCCGUCGGGUUGUAAAGCCCUUUUGUUGGGAAAGAAAUCCAGCUGGCUAAUACCCGGUUGGGAUGACGGUACCCAAAGAAUAAGCACCGGCUAACUUCGUGCCAGCCGCCGCAGUAA
Molecule: ribosomal RNA, 506 nt
Filed under: uncultured bacterium
Lineage: Bacteria
Description: partial 16S ribosomal RNA
Rfam family: Bacterial small subunit ribosomal RNA
Source: RNAcentral